CAGUCGCCACGGUAAUACGUAGGGUGCGAGCGUUAAUCGGAAUUACUGGGCGUAAAGCGUGCGCAGGCGGUUGUGUAAGACAGGUGUGAAAUCCCCGGUCUUAACCUGGGAACUGCGCUUGUGACUGCACAGCUAGAGUAUGGCAGAGGGGGGUGGAAUUCCACGUGUAGCAGUGAAAUGCGUAGAGAUGUGGAGGAACACCGAUGGCGAAGGCAGCCCCCUGGGCCAAUACUGACGCUCAUGCACGAAAGCGUGGGGAGCAAACAGGAUUAGAUACCCGUGUAGUCCCUGUCUCUUAUAC
This 301-nucleotide ribosomal RNA is filed under the name uncultured bacterium. RNAcentral describes it as "partial 16S ribosomal RNA". It matches the Rfam family "Bacterial small subunit ribosomal RNA", at positions 509 to 807 of the family's 1533-position model. The record is from RNAcentral.